AGCAGCCGCGGUAAUUCCAGCUCCAAUAGCGUAUAUUAAAGUUGUUGCAGUUAAAAAGCUCGUAGUUGAAUUUUGGGUCUGGCCGGGCGGUCCGCCCUCUGGGUGAGCACUGUUCCGACGCCGGGCCUAUCCUUCUGGUGAGUCGGCAUGUCCUUUGUUGGGUGUGUCGGGGAACCAGGACCAUUACCUUGAAAAAAUUAGAGUGUUCAAAGCAGGCGUAUGCUCGGAUACAUUAGCAUGGAAUAAUGAAAUAGGACGCGUGGUGCUAUUUUGUUGGUUUCUAGAACCGCCGUAAUGAUUAAUAGGGAUAGUUGGGGGCAUUAGUAUUCAAUUGUCAGAGGUGAAAUUCUUGGAUUUAUUGAAGACUAACUUCUGCGAAAGCAUUUGCCAAGGAUGUUUUCAUUAAUCAAGAACGAAAGUUAGGGGAUCGAAGACGAUCAGAUACCGUCGUAGUCUUAACCAUAAACUAUGCCGACUAGGAAUCGGGCGAUGUUAUUCUCAUGACUCGCCCGGCGCC
RNAcentral lists this ribosomal RNA (517 nucleotides) under uncultured Ambispora. RNAcentral describes it as "SSU rRNA". It matches the Rfam family "Eukaryotic small subunit ribosomal RNA", at positions 569 to 1087 of the family's 1831-position model. The record is from RNAcentral. Lineage: Eukaryota; Fungi; Glomeromycota; Glomeromycetes; Archaeosporales; Ambisporaceae.